Molecule: transfer RNA, 66 nt
Filed under: Adelges tsugae (hemlock woolly adelgid)
Lineage: Eukaryota; Metazoa; Arthropoda; Insecta; Hemiptera; Adelgidae
Description: tRNA-Trp
Source: RNAcentral
AAGGUUUUAAGUUAAAUAAACUAUUAAUCUUCAAAAUUAAAAAUAAUAUUUAAAUUUUAAACCUUA